AUGCAGAAGCGCGACCUCGACAUCCUCCUCCUGGCUGCCUUCACCGUCUACUUCUCGCUCCAGCACGAGGGCGACUUCUCAUUCCGGGAGGCGUGGUACCACCUGUCGGACGACGGGUUCCCGAUUAAGCACGACGUGCACCGCCUCCCGCCGUCGCUAGUCGCCGACCUCAAUGGCGACGGUCGCCACGAGGUGCUGCUCCUCACGCACGAUGCCAAGAUCCAGGUCCUCCAGCUCCUGGCCCACGCCGGGCUGGCCUCCACGGUCGCCCUCGACGGCUUCCACGAUGCACGCGUCAUGGCCGAGAUCUCCCUGCUCCCGGCCAACGUGCGUGCGUCAUGGGGUCGAGAUUUUUUUUUUGGUUUUUCAAAUUAA
Molecule: ribosomal RNA, 375 nt
Filed under: Triticum aestivum (bread wheat)
Lineage: Eukaryota; Viridiplantae; Streptophyta; Magnoliopsida; Poales; Poaceae
Description: partial small subunit ribosomal RNA
Source: RNAcentral